Molecule: ribosomal RNA, 433 nt
Filed under: uncultured bacterium
Lineage: Bacteria
Description: partial 16S ribosomal RNA
Rfam family: Bacterial small subunit ribosomal RNA
Source: RNAcentral
AACGAACGCUGGCGGCAUGCCUAACACAUGCAAGUCGAACGAAGCCUUCGGGCUUAGUGGCGCACGGGUGCGUAACGCGUGGGAAUCUGCCCCUUGCUUCGGAAUAACAGUUAGAAAUGACUGCUAAUACCGGAUGAAGUCUUCGGACCAAAGAUUUAUCGGCAAGGGAUGAGCCCGCGUAGGAUUAGGUAGUUGGUGGGGUAAAGGCCUACCAAGCCGACGAUCCUUAGCUGGUCUGAGAGGAUGAUCAGCCACACUGGGACUGAGACACGGCCCAGACUCCUACGGGAGGCAGCAGUGGGGAAUAUUGGACAAUGGACGCAAGUCUGAUCCAGCAAUGCCGCGUGAGUGAUGAAGGCCUUAGGGUUGUAAAGCUCUUUUACCAGGGAUGAUAAUGACAGUACCUGGAGAAUAAGCUCCGGCUAGCUCCGUG